ACGAACGCUGGCGGCAUGCCUAACACAUGCAAGUCGAACGAAUAAGAGCCCUAGCAAUAGGGAGUUCUGUUAGUGGCAAACGGGUGAGUAACACGUGGGAAUCUCCCCAGUAGUAAGGAAUAACAGUUAGAAAUGACUGCUAAUACCAUAUACGCUCGAAAGAGGAAAGAUUUAUCGCUAUUGGAUGAGCCCGCGCAAGAUUAGGUAGUUGGUAGGGUAAUGGCCUACCAAGCCUACGAUCUUUAGCUGGUCUGAGAGGAUGGCCAGCCACACUGGGACUGAGACACGGCCCAGACUCCUACGGGAGGCAGCAGUGGGGAAUAUUGGACAAUGGGCGCAAGCCUGAUCCAGCAAUGCCGCGUGAAUGAUGAAGGCCUUAGGGUUGUAAAAUUCUUUUGUCAGGGAAAAUAAUGAUGGUACCUGACGAAUAAGCUCCGGCUAACUUCGU
Molecule: ribosomal RNA, 448 nt
Filed under: uncultured bacterium
Lineage: Bacteria
Description: bacterial SSU rRNA
Rfam family: Bacterial small subunit ribosomal RNA
Source: RNAcentral